GGUAGGGGAGGAACCUCCGUAAAUAAGUUUACAGCUUACCGCCUUCGCUCGGCCACCUAACC
RNAcentral lists this transfer RNA (62 nucleotides) under Trioceros sternfeldi. Its description in RNAcentral is "tRNA-Tyr". The record is from RNAcentral. Lineage: Eukaryota; Metazoa; Chordata; Lepidosauria; Squamata; Chamaeleonidae.